GAUGAACGCUGGCGGCGUGCCUAAUACAUGCAAGUCGAGCGAACGGACGAGAAGCUUGCUUCUCUGAUGUUAGCGGCGGACGGGUGAGUAACACGUGGAUAACCUACCUAUAAGACUGGGAUAACUUCGGGAAACCGGAGCUAAUACCGGAUAAUAUUUUGAACCGCAUGGUUCAAAAGUAAAAGACGGUCUUGCUGUCACUUAUAGAUGGAUCCGCGCUGCAUUAGCUAGUUGGUAAGGUAACGGCUUACCAAGGCAACGAUGCAUAGCCGACCUGAGAGGGUGAUCGGCCACACUGGAACUGAGACACGGUCCAGACUCCUACGGGAGGCAGCAGUAGGGAAUCUUCCGCAAUGGGCGAAAGCCUGACGGAGCAACGCCGCGUGAGUGAUGAAGGUCUUCGGAUCGUAAAACUCUGUUAUUAGGGAAGAAUAUAUGUGUAAGUAACUGUGCACAUCUUGACGGUACCUAAUCAGAAAGCCACGGCUAACUACGUGCCAGCAGCCGCGGUAAUACGUAAGUGGCAAGCGUUAUCCGGAAUUAUUGGGCGUAGAGCGCGCGUAGCGGUUUUUUAGUCUGAUGUGAAAGCCCACGGCUCAACCGUGGAGGGUCAUUGGAAACUGGAAAACUUGAGUGCAGAAGAGGAAAGUGGAAUUCCAUGUGUAGCGGUGAAAUGCGCAGAGAUAUGGAGGAACACCAGUGGCGAAGGCGACUUUCUGGUCUGUAACUGACGCUGAUGUGCGAAAGCGUGGGGAUCAAACAGGAUUAGAUACCCUGGUAGUCCACGCCGUAAACGAUGAGUGCUAAGUGUUAGGGGGUUUCCGCCCCUUAGUGCUGCAGCUAACGCAUUAAGCACUCCGCCUGGGGAGUACGACCGCAAGGUUGAAACUCAAAGGAAUUGACGGGGACCCGCACAAGCGGUGGAGCAUGUGGUUUAAUUCGAAGCAACGCGAAGAACCUUACCAAAUCUUGACAUCCUUUGACAACUCUAGAGAUAGAGCCUUCCCCUUCGGGGGACAAAGUGACAGGUGGUGCAUGGUUGUCGUCAGCUCGUGUCGUGAGAUGUUGGGUUAAGUCCCGCAACGAGCGCAACCCUUAAGCUUAGUUGCCAUCAUUAAGUUGGGCACUCUAAGUUGACUGCCGGUGACAAACCGGAGGAAGGUGGGGAUGACGUCAAAUCAUCAUGCCCCUUAUGAUUUGGGCUACACACGUGCUACAAUGGACAAUACAAAGGGCAGCGAAACCGCGAGGUCAAGCAAAUCCCAUAAAGUUGUUCUCAGUUCGGAUUGUAGUCUGCAACUCGACUACAUGAAGCUGGAAUCGCUAGUAAUCGUAGAUCAGCAUGCUACGGUGAAUACGUUCCCGGGUCU
RNAcentral lists this ribosomal RNA (1370 nucleotides) under uncultured bacterium. Its description in RNAcentral is "bacterial SSU rRNA". It matches the Rfam family "Bacterial small subunit ribosomal RNA", at positions 28 to 1381 of the family's 1533-position model. The record is from RNAcentral.